GAUGAACGCUGGCGGCGUGCCUAAUACAUGCAAGUCGAGCGAACAGACGAGGCGCUUGCUCCUCUGACGUUAGCGGAGGACGGGUGAGUAACACGUGGAUAACCUCCCUAUAAGACUGGGAUAACUUCGGGAAACCGGAGCUAAUACCGGAUAAUAUAUUGAACCGCAUGGUUCAAUGGUGAAAGACGGUGUUGCGGUCAGUUCUAGCUGCAUACGCGCUGCAUUGGCUAGUAGGGAAGGUAACGGCUUACCAAGGCGACGAUGCGUAGCCGAGCUGAGAGGGGGAUCGCCCACACUGGAACUGAGACACGGUCCAGACUCCUACGAGAGGCAGCAGUAGGGAAUCUGCCGCAGUGGGCGAAAGCCUUGCGGAGCGGCGCCGCGUGAGUUAUGAAGGUCUCCGGAUCGUAAUGCUCUGUUAUUAGGUAAGAACAAAUUUGUAAGUAACUGUGCACUUCUUGACGGUACCUGAUCAGAAAGCCCCGGCUAACUACGUG
RNAcentral lists this ribosomal RNA (497 nucleotides) under uncultured bacterium. Its description in RNAcentral is "partial 16S ribosomal RNA". It matches the Rfam family "Bacterial small subunit ribosomal RNA", at positions 28 to 507 of the family's 1533-position model. The record is from RNAcentral.